UUGUAAGCGUGUUAGCAAAGUGUUUAUUAGACCAUUUUCUUUUUAAAAAAUUUUGGGGACAAAAAUAAUGCCACCUUUUGAAAGUGACAAGGAACUAGAGAAUUCCUUUUUCCUCCAUCGAAAAUGAGAGGAACCUAUCCAAUUUAAUACAAUAGAGCUAAAUAAUUUCCUGGUAGACUACAUUGAAGAAAUUCUGUUUAAAUAGUU
This 207-nucleotide long non-coding RNA is filed under the name Elaeis guineensis (African oil palm). RNAcentral's name for it is "long non-coding RNA (EGUI_LNC007267)". The record is from RNAcentral. Lineage: Eukaryota; Viridiplantae; Streptophyta; Magnoliopsida; Arecales; Arecaceae.